This 482-nucleotide ribosomal RNA is filed under the name uncultured bacterium. RNAcentral describes it as "partial 16S ribosomal RNA". It matches the Rfam family "Bacterial small subunit ribosomal RNA", at positions 30 to 507 of the family's 1533-position model. The record is from RNAcentral.
AUUGAACGCUGGCGGCAUGCUUUACACAUGCAAGUCGAACGGUAACAGGCCGCAAGGUGCUGACGAGUGGCGAACGGGUGAGUAAUGCAUCGGAACGUGCCCAGUCGUGGGGGAUAACUACUCGAAAGAGUAGCUAAUACCGCAUACGAUCUAUGGAUGAAAGCGGGGGACCGUAAGGCCUCGCGCGAUUGGAGCGGCCGAUGUCAGAUUAGGUAGUUGGUGGGGUAAAGGCUCACCAAGCCAACGAUCUGUAGCUGGUCUGAGAGGACGACCAGCCACACUGGGACUGAGACACGGCCCAGACUCCUACGGGAGGCAGCAGUGGGGAAUUUUGGACAAUGGGCGCAAGCCUGAUCCAGCAAUGCCGCGUGCAGGAAGAAGGCCUUCGUGUUGUAAACUGCUUUUGUACGGAACGAAACGGCUCUGGUUAAUACCCGGGGCUAAUGACGGUACCGUAAGAAUAAGCACCGGCUAACUACGUG